CGAAGGUAUGCAAGCGUUAUCCGGAUUCAUUGGGUUAAAGGGUGCGUAGGCGGACCUGUAAGUCAGUGGUGAAAUCUCUCAGCUUAACUGAGAAACUGCCAUUGAUACUGCAAGUCUAGAGUAUAGAUGACGUUGGCGGAAUAUGACAUGUAGUGGUGAAAUACUUAGAUAUGUCAUAGAACACCGAUUGCGAAGGCAGCUAACGAAACCAUAACUGACGCUGAGGCACGAAAGUGCGGGGAUCAAACAGGAUUAGAUACCUGGUAGUCCGCACCGUAAACGAUGAUUACUCGUUGUUGGCGAUAUGACAGUCAGCGACCAAGCGAAAGCGAUAAGUAAUCCACCUGGGGAGUACGCCGGCAACGGUG
Molecule: ribosomal RNA, 368 nt
Filed under: uncultured organism
Description: bacterial SSU rRNA
Rfam family: Bacterial small subunit ribosomal RNA
Source: RNAcentral